This 460-nucleotide ribosomal RNA is filed under the name uncultured bacterium. RNAcentral's name for it is "partial 16S ribosomal RNA". It matches the Rfam family "Bacterial small subunit ribosomal RNA", at positions 338 to 795 of the family's 1533-position model. The record is from RNAcentral.
CCUACGGGAGGCAGCAGUGAGGAAUAUUGGUCAAUGGGCGCGAGCCUGAACCAGCCACGUAGCGUGAAGGAUGCCUGCCCUACGGGUUGUAAACUUCUUUUAUAAAGGAAUAAAGUGAGGCACGUGUGCCUUUUUGUAUGUACUUUAUGAAUAAGGAUCGGCUACAUCCGUGACAGCAGCCGCGGUAAUACGGAGGAUCCGAGCGUUAUCCGGAUUUAUUGGGUUUAAGGGGAGCGUAGAUGGGUGGUUAAGUCAGGUGUGAAAGGCUGGGGCUCAACCGUAAAAUUGCAAUUGAUACUGGCAGCCUUGAGUACAGUUGAGGUAGGCGGAAUUCGUGGUGUAGCGGUGAAAUGCUUAGAUAUAACGAAGAACUCCGAUUGCGAAGGCAGCCUACUAAACUGCCACUGACAUUGAUGCUCGAAAGUGUGGGUAUCAAACAGGAUUAGAUACCCCGGUAGUC